GAUGAACGCUGGCGGCGUGCCUAAUACAUGCAAGUCGAACGAAACUUCUUUAUCACCGAGUGCCUGCACUCACCGAUAAAGAGUUGAGUGGCGAACGGGUGAGUAACACGUGGGCAACCUGCCCAAAAGAGGGGGAUAACACUUGGAAACAGGUGCUAAUACCGCAUAACCAUAGUUACCGCAUGGUAACUAUGUAAAAGGUGGCUAUACUACCGCUUUUGGAUGGGCCCGCGGCGCAUUAGCUAGUUGGUAGGGUAAAGGCUUACCAAGGCAAUGAUGCGUAGCCGAAUUGAGAGGUUGAUCGGCCACAUUGGGACUGAGACACGGCCCAAACUCCUACGGGAGGCAGCAGUAGGGAAUCUUCCACAAUGGGCGAAAGCCUGAUGGAGCAACGCCGCGUGGGUGAAGAAGGUCUUCGGAUCGUAAAACCCUGUUGUUAGAGAAGAAAGUGCGUGAGAGUAACUGUUCACGUUUCGACGGUAUCUAACCAGAAAGCCACGGCUAACUACGUG
This 512-nucleotide ribosomal RNA is filed under the name uncultured bacterium. RNAcentral describes it as "partial 16S ribosomal RNA". It matches the Rfam family "Bacterial small subunit ribosomal RNA", at positions 28 to 507 of the family's 1533-position model. The record is from RNAcentral.